GCCAAGAUGGUGAAAUUGGCAGACACGCUACGUUCAGGACGUAGUCCUAGAAAUAGGGUGGGGGUUCAACUCCCCCUCUUGGCA
This 84-nucleotide transfer RNA is filed under the name Candidatus Dojkabacteria bacterium. Its description in RNAcentral is "tRNA-Leu". It matches the Rfam family "tRNA". Rfam says of the family: Transfer RNA (tRNA) molecules are approximately 80 nucleotides in length. The record is from RNAcentral.